Pieris rapae (cabbage white) is the source of this 346-nucleotide long non-coding RNA. RefSeq lists it as uncharacterized. The record is from RefSeq and is a predicted model, not a curated record. NCBI's taxonomy places the organism in Eukaryota, Metazoa, Arthropoda, Insecta, Lepidoptera, Pieridae. The transcript is spliced from 2 exons.
UAUAUUUGAAAAAGUUUAAAGAGCUGGAAAACUUAACAAAAUCCUAGAAAUAAAAUAAUGUUUGAAUAUCAAAUGCUACAAAACCAGCUUCGAAUACACGAGAAGAAUAGUAAAAGUUGAAAAGUCCAGCACACUAGCAAUGAUGAGGUUAAAACUAAAAAUCAUCAAACAAAUUUAUUAUCGGCCUUUGGUAGGGUUGUACGGUACCGGCAUCCGGCUGACGGCGACGGGAGCUGGGAUGCUGGAGGUGCCGGGGGUUGACAGAGAGAAAAAGAGGUCGCAUACGGCGCUUCGUCAACGAACCAAAGAUCAAAUCUGGCCAUUUCUCACACACACGCAGAGGCAA